CCUACGGGCGGCUGCAGUGGGGAAUAUUGCACAAUGGGCGCAAGCCUGAUGCAGCCAUGCCGCGUGUGUGAAGAAGGCCUUCGGGUUGUAAAGCACUUUCAGCGGGGAGGAAGGCGUUAAGGUUAAUAACCUUGGCGAUUGACGUUACCCGCAGAAGAAGCACCGGCUAACUCCGUGCCAGCAGCCGCGGUAAUACGGAGGGUGCAAGCGUUAAUCGGAAUUACUGGGCGUAAAGCGCACGCAGGCGGUCUGUCAAGUCGGAUGUGAAAUCCCCGGGCUCAACCUGGGAACUGCAUUCGAAACUGGCAGGCUAGAGUCUUGUAGAGGGGGGUAGAAUUCCAGGUGUAGCGGUGAAAUGCGUAGAGAUCUGGAGGAAUACCGGUGGCGAAGGCGGCCCCCUGGACAAAGACUGACGCUCAGGUGCGAAAGCGUGGGGAGCAAACAGGAGUAGAUACCCCAGUAGUC
This 465-nucleotide ribosomal RNA is filed under the name uncultured Klebsiella sp. RNAcentral's name for it is "bacterial SSU rRNA". It matches the Rfam family "Bacterial small subunit ribosomal RNA", at positions 338 to 795 of the family's 1533-position model. Lineage: Bacteria; Pseudomonadati; Pseudomonadota; Gammaproteobacteria; Enterobacterales; Enterobacteriaceae. The record is from RNAcentral.